Molecule: ribosomal RNA, 369 nt
Filed under: Chaetoceros affinis
Lineage: Eukaryota; Bacillariophyta; Thalassiosirophyceae; Chaetocerotales; Chaetocerotaceae
Description: partial Eukaryotic large subunit ribosomal RNA
Rfam family: Eukaryotic large subunit ribosomal RNA
Source: RNAcentral
CGCAAUGGUAAUUGAGCUUAGUACGAGAGGAACCGCUCAUUCAGAUAAUUGGUUUUUGCGGCUGUCUGACCAGGCAGUGCCGCGAAGCUACCAUCUGCUGGAUUAUGGCUGAACGCCUCUAAGUCAGAAUCCAUGCCAGAAAGGGACGAUUUCCCCCUACACAUCGUAGUCGGAUACGAAUAGGCCUUUGGCCCCGAACCUUAGCAUGCUGGCAACGGGGUGUACGCGGAAGUGCGUGCUCCUUAGCUAGCGGAUUGCAAUUUCACUUUGCGCAGGGAUAAAUCCUUUGCAUACGACUUAGUUGUGCGACACGGUCGUGUACGCUGUCGAGUAGCCUUGUAGUUACGAGCAGCUGAGCGUAAGCCGUUU